UGCGGAAGGAUCAUUACCGAAUUGUCAACAGGAGUUGCUGCUGGCCUCCACACGUGGGGGCAUGUGCACGCUCUGUUUACACAUCCACUCACACCUGUGCACCCUCUGUAGUUCUGUGGCCUGGGGGCUCUGCCCUCCUGCUGUGGUUCUAUGUCUUUACACACACACUGUAAUGAAGUCUCAUGGAAUGCAUGUCGCGUUUAACGCAAUGAAAUACAACUUUCAGCAACGGAUCUCUUGGCUCUCGCAUCGAUGAAGAACGCAGCGAAAUGCGAUAAGUAAUGUGAAUUGCAGAAUUCAGUGAAUCAUCGAAUCUUUGAACGCACCUUGCGCCCUUUGGCUAUUCCGAAGGGCAUGCCUGUUUGAGUAUCAUGAACACCUCAACUCUCANGGCUUGCNGUGAUGAGCUUGGACUUUGGGGGUCUUGCCGGCCUGUGGUCGGCUCCUCUCAAAUNAAUCAGCUUUCCAGUGUUUGGUGGCNUCACAGGUGUGAUAACUAUCUACGCUUGUGGUUUUCCCACCAAGUUACCUUUGGCAACAGAGGUUCACUGGAGCUCAUAAACGGUCCCUCCUUGGCGGGGACGGCUCUUUGACCGUUUGAUCUCAAAUCAGGUAGGACUACCCGCUGAACUUAAGCAUAU
RNAcentral lists this ribosomal RNA (641 nucleotides) under uncultured fungus. Its description in RNAcentral is "eukaryotic LSU rRNA". The stretch from base 218 to 372 matches the Rfam family "5.8S ribosomal RNA". The record is from RNAcentral. Lineage: Eukaryota; Fungi.